AAAAUCAUAGAUCCCCCUUACAACGAAUUAUUACACUGUAUCAAGACUUUGUAAGGGGGAUCUAUGAUUUUGUGAACAUGCUGAGGGAACUGAAAAACAGGUGCGGGAAGGUUUUGGAAGAUUUCCGUCACCUAGAUGGUAAGCUUGGAAAAGACGAUGGGGAAAGGCGUGGAAGUAGAGGCCGUUGCAGAUGAAAUCUUUGUGAAUGAUCUAACCGCUAAGGAAGGUGCAAGCACUUUGAAGGAGUUGAUUCCAUACAAUGGGAUAUUGAACUUGUAAGGGCUUUCAGAGGCCUUUGAUAGCAGUUCAGGUGAAUUUAUUGAAACAGAUAUAAUUUUGAGUUUCUCCCACUGAUAAUAAGAUUUCCCAUGGACCAUUUCCAUGUGUUAUCAAAUUGUCAAGC
RNAcentral lists this unclassified non-coding RNA (403 nucleotides) under Hevea brasiliensis (rubber tree). The record is from RNAcentral. Lineage: Eukaryota; Viridiplantae; Streptophyta; Magnoliopsida; Malpighiales; Euphorbiaceae.